AGCAGCCGCGGUAAUUCCAGCUCCAAUAGCGUAUAUUAAAGUUGUUGCAGUUAAAAAGCUCGUAGUUGAAUUUCGGGAUUUAUCCGUCGGUCGGGCUUUUUGGUCUGUACUGGCGUGAUGGAUUCCUACCUUCUGAAUAACCGGCAUGUCAUUAAUUUGGUGCGCCGGGGAAGCAGGACUGUUACCUUGAAAAAAUUAGAGUGCUUAAAGCAGGCUUAUGCCUGAAUACAUUAGCAUGGAAUAAUGAAAUAGGACGGCAUGGUUCUAUUUUGUUGGUUUCUAGGAUUGACGUAAUGAUUAAUAGGGAUAGUUGGGGGCAUUAGUAUUCAAUUGUCAGAGGUGAAAUUCUUGGAUUUAUUGAAGACUAACUACUGCGAAAGCAUUUGCCAAGGAUGUUUUCAUUAAUCAAGAACGAAAGUUAGGGGAUCGAAGACGAUCAGAUACCGUCGUAGUCUUAACCAUAAACUAUGCCGACUAGGGAUCGGAUGAUGUUAAUUUUUUAAUGACUCAUUCGGCGCCUUACG
This 524-nucleotide ribosomal RNA is filed under the name uncultured Acaulospora. Its description in RNAcentral is "SSU rRNA". It matches the Rfam family "Eukaryotic small subunit ribosomal RNA", at positions 569 to 1092 of the family's 1831-position model. Lineage: Eukaryota; Fungi; Glomeromycota; Glomeromycetes; Diversisporales; Acaulosporaceae. The record is from RNAcentral.